AGGCCUUGAAUCGAGCAAACCAGCUGCUGCAUCUUCAAAGAGGUAAGAAAUCCAUCGAGCUAAUUCUUGAAAUCUUCAUGUGGUUCUUAUAGAUCUUGGAACGUAGAGCAUUAUGCAACUUAGAUCUCUUAAAACCAUGCGGUAUUGAUGAAGUUAUGUGGAUUUGAAAAGUUGAUUGCUAAAACUUGUUUUGAUCGAUCCUUUUGCCAUGGUUAGAAUUAGGACAAAUCAAUGUUAGAUUAGUGAUCUAGGAUGAAUGCUGGUUCGAUU
RNAcentral lists this long non-coding RNA (270 nucleotides) under Lathyrus oleraceus (garden pea). RNAcentral's name for it is "Pisum sativum (pea) long non-coding RNA (PSAT_LNC034929)". Lineage: Eukaryota; Viridiplantae; Streptophyta; Magnoliopsida; Fabales; Fabaceae. The record is from RNAcentral.